This 429-nucleotide ribosomal RNA is filed under the name Chloroflexota bacterium. RNAcentral describes it as "Chloroflexi bacterium partial 16S ribosomal RNA". It matches the Rfam family "Bacterial small subunit ribosomal RNA", at positions 355 to 776 of the family's 1533-position model. The record is from RNAcentral. Lineage: Bacteria; Bacillati; Chloroflexota. RNAcentral also lists the same sequence under 1 other name.
UAGGGAAUCUUCGGCAAUGGACGAAAGUCUGACCGAGCAACGCCGCGUGAGUGAAGAAGGUUUUCGGAUCGUAAAACUCUGUUGUUAGAGAAGAACAAGGACGUUAGUAACUGAACGUCCCCUGACGGUAUCUAACCAGAAAGCCACGGCUAACUACGUGCCAGCAGCCGCGGUAAUACGUAGGUGGCAAGCGUUGUCCGGAUUUAUUGGGCGUAAAGCGAGCGCAGGCGGUUUCUUAAGUCUGAUGUGAAAGCCCCCGGCUCAACCGGGGAUGGUCAUUGGAAACUGGGAGACUUGAGUGCAGAAGAGGAGAGUGGAAUUCCAUGUGUAGCGGUGAAAUGCGUAGAUAUAUGGAGGAACACCAGUGGCGAAGGCGGCUCUCUGGUCUGUAACUGACGCUGAGGCUCGAAAGCGUGGGGAGCAAACAGG